UCCGAUUGUUCAGUCAUUCAAGGCUAUGACAGGAGAGCCAUGCAUUUUCAUAGUUUUUGGUUCCAUCUCGCUUUGGAUCUCCUACCCGACAAUGUGCUGUCCUUGAAAGCGUUCACAGACACAGUUUAUGAACUGACGAAAAUCAAAUCCAUACCAUAUCGUGGCAGUUGUUGGGUGAGUGGAUUUGAUUUCUAUUUGGAACACGGACCCAC
Molecule: non-coding RNA, 212 nt
Filed under: Palpitomonas bilix
Lineage: Eukaryota
Source: RNAcentral